RNAcentral lists this small RNA (171 nucleotides) under Arabidopsis thaliana (thale cress). Its description in RNAcentral is "ATSL045640". The record is from RNAcentral. Lineage: Eukaryota; Viridiplantae; Streptophyta; Magnoliopsida; Brassicales; Brassicaceae.
AUAUAAAAUAGAAAUAGAAUAUUUCUAAGAAUAUUCUUUUUUAGAGUAGAAAAUAGAGAUAUACAUUGGAGAAAAACUCAUCUCUAAAAUUGAGUUACUCUAUUUUAGAACAAGAUAUAGAGCUAUACAUUGGAGAUGGUCUUAAUACAUAGUCAAAAUUGAUUACUUAUU